Molecule: ribosomal RNA, 1385 nt
Filed under: uncultured bacterium
Lineage: Bacteria
Description: bacterial SSU rRNA
Rfam family: Bacterial small subunit ribosomal RNA
Source: RNAcentral
GACGAACGCUGGCGGCGUGCCUAAUACAUGCAAGUCGAGCGAGCGGAACUAACAGAUUUACUUCGGUAAUGACGUUAGGAAAGCGAGCGGCGGAUGGGUGAGUAACACGUGGGGAACCUGCCCCAUAGUCUGGGAUACCACUUGGAAACAGGUGCUAAUACCGGAUAAGAAAGCAGAUCGCAUGAUCAGCUUUUAAAAGGCGGCGUAAGCUGUCGCUAUGGGAUGGCCCCGCGGUGCAUUAGCUAGUUGGUAAGGUAAAGGCUUACCAAGGCGAUGAUGCAUAGCCGAGUUGAGAGACUGAUCGGCCACAUUGGGACUGAGACACGGCCCAAACUCCUACGGGAGGCAGCAGUAGGGAAUCUUCCACAGUGGACGCAAGUCUGAUGGAGCAACGCCGCGUGAGUGAAGAAGGUUUUCGGAUCGUAAAGCUCUGUUGUUGGUGAAGAAGGAUAGAGGUAGUAACUGGCCUUUAUUUGACGGUAAUCAACCAGAAAGUCACGGCUAACUACGUGCCAGCAGCCGCGGUAAUACGCAGGUGGCAAGCGUUGUCCGGAUUUAUUGGGCGUAAAGCGAGCGCAGGCGGAAGAAUAAGUCUGAUGUGAAAGCCCUCGGCUUAACCGAGGAACUGCAUCGGAAACUGUUUUUCUUGAGUGCAGAAGAGGAGAGUGGAACUCCAUGUGUAGCGGUGGAAUGCGUAGAUAUAUGGAAGAACACCAGUGGCGAAGGCGGCUCUCUGGUCUGCAACUGACGCUGAGGCUCGAAAGCAUGGGUAGCGAACAGGAUUAGAUACCCUGGUAGUCCAUGCCGUAAACGAUGAGUGCUAAGUGUUGGGAGGUUUCCGCCUCUCAGUGCUGCAGCUAACGCAUUAAGCACUCCGCCUGGGGAGUACGACCGCAAGGUUGAAACUCAAAGGAAUUGACGGGGGCCCGCACAAGCGGUGGAGCAUGUGGUUUAAUUCGAAGCAACGCGAAGAACCUUACCAGGUCUUGACAUCUAGUGCCAUUUGUAGAGAUACAAAGUUCCCUUCGGGGACGCUAAGACAGGUGGUGCAUGGCUGUCGUCAGCUCGUGUCGUGAGAUGUUGGGUUAAGUCCCGCAACGAGCGCAACCCUUGUUAUUAGUUGCCAGCAUUAAGUUGGGCACUCUAAUGAGACUGCCGGUGACAAACCGGAGGAAGGUGGGGAUGACGUCAAGUCAUCAUGCCCCUUAUGACCUGGGCUACACACGUGCUACAAUGGGCAGUACAACGAGAAGCGAGCCUGCGAAGGCAAGCGAAUCUCUGAAAGCUGUUUUCAGUUCGGACUGCAGUCUGCAACUCGACCGCACGAAGCUGGAAUCGCUAGUAAUCGCGGAUCAGCACGCCGCGGUGAAUACGUUCCCGGGCCU